Molecule: ribosomal RNA, 917 nt
Filed under: Sancassania sp. PBK-2009
Lineage: Eukaryota; Metazoa; Arthropoda; Arachnida; Sarcoptiformes; Acaridae
Description: partial 16S ribosomal RNA
Rfam family: Archaeal large subunit ribosomal RNA (bases 661-917)
Source: RNAcentral
UUAGUGUUUACUUCAUACUUUGUUAUUUUUUAUUUUACUUCUUUGAUAGGUUAGAAUCCUGUAAGGGGCUUUUCUUGGGUUUAUUUUUACCUUUUGUAUAAGGGUUUCUAGAUGGCUUGUAAUCUUUUACUUUUUAGAAAUAAGGGGAUUUUUUGAGAUAUUUUUACUUUUUUAUUGAUUUUAAUAUCUUAAAAGGAGUGAAACGCUGUCGUCCUUUGAGCUAACUAUGUUAGAUAUAUUAUUGGAAGGGGUAAGCCCUUUUUUCUUCUUGUCAUAAAAGAAGUUUUUUUAAGUUUUAGUGGUAAACUUUAGUGUAAUAACUUAACUUUGUUGCGAUCAAGAAUUAUUAUUCUUUUAAAAUUUUUAUUUUAAUUAGAGCAUGAGUAGGGGCUUUUAACUUUUUCUUAUCAUUUUUAAUUUUUUUGUUAGACAAAAAUUUAAUGAAUUUACUUUUUCCCUUUAAGUCUGUUUAUUAAAAUCUUAGCCUAUUUAAAUCUAGGUUACUCCUGCCCUAUGGGAAUUUCUUAAUGGCUGUAGAUUUUCUACACUAAGGUAGCGAUAUCAUUAGUCACUUAAUUAGUAACUUGUAUGAAUGGAGCCUCUUAGGGUGGAUUAUUCUUUCUUUCUUAAAUUAUGCUUUUGUUGAAAAUAACAAAUUUUCCCCUUAGACAAAAAGACCCUAGAAUUUUUAUUAGUCUUAUGUAUAUUUUAGUUGGGGCAACAGUAAAAUUUUUAUAUCAAGAAUUUUUUUGUUUUUGAACUCUAUUUAUUAGGAYAGGUUGAGAAAAUACUCUAGGGAUAACAGCUUUAUUACUCUUUUGAGUUCUUAUCAAUAGAGUGGCUUGGGACCUCGAUGUUGGAUUGAAGUGACCCUUUGGUGUAGAAGCUGAAGCAGGUAGGACUGUUCGUCCGUUAAA